This 446-nucleotide ribosomal RNA is filed under the name uncultured organism. RNAcentral describes it as "partial 16S ribosomal RNA". It matches the Rfam family "Bacterial small subunit ribosomal RNA", at positions 334 to 797 of the family's 1533-position model. The record is from RNAcentral.
CACUCCUACGGGAGGCAGCAGUGGGGAAUAUUGGACAAUGGGCGCAAGCCUGAUCCAGCCAUGCCGCGUGAGUGAUGAAGGCCCUAGGGUUGUAAAGCUCUUUCACCGGAGAAGAUAAUGACGGUAUCCGGAGAAGAAGCCCCGGCUAACUUCGUGCCAGCAGCCGCGGUAAUACGAAGGGGGCUAGCGUUGUUCGGAAUUACUGGGCGUAAAGCGCACGUAGGCGGAUCGAUCAGUCAGGGGUGAAAUCCCAGGGCUCAACCCUGGAACUGCCUUUGAUACUGUCGAUCUGGAGUAUGGAAGAGGUGAGUGGAAUUCCGAGUGUAGAGGUGAAAUUCGUAGAUAUUCGGAGGAACACCAGUGGCGAAGGCGGCUCACUGGUCCAUUACUGACGCUGAGGUGCGAAAGCGUGGGGAGCAAACAGGAUUAGAAACCCUUGUAGUCCC